CGCGGGGCCGGCCGGCGGUCACGCGGCGGCCGCAUCCCGCCGGGCCGCGGCGAGUCUGCGCAGCGGGUGGUCCCGGGCCCUUCGGAGCCGGGAGAAGGAAACUCGGCGCUGCGGCUCCACGUGGCUGGCCGUCUCUGCUGUCGCGGGCUUGUUUCCUGCGCCCAGGGCGGCUCGCGCUCUCUUCAGGGCUUGCUGCGCGCGGGAGGCCGCGACUUCGCUCGGGCACGCUGUGGAGGUGGCCGGGACCGCUUCGCCGCUCCCGGGGCCGCGCGAGGGGCUUCCCUCCAGCCGCGGCCACGCGCGCUCCGGCCCCGGUGCGGCGGCGAGCAGAGCAGACCUGAAUUUCACUCACUGCUUCUCUACUGCUUGAGAUCAGCAGGCUCUCACUCCAUUCCAUCGCUUUUCUUUACUCCUGCCAAAAAGGAUUGGAUCCUAGGAUUUUUCUCCGAAUAAUGGCAGAAGGAAGGAGAGGCGGGAGAGGACUAAUUUUGGUGCUGUGAAAGUGGGACUCUGACAUUUCAAUGGACAGACGAAUUUCGUGAUCUACAUUCCUGGUUUAAUGAAAUAGGGGGAUAAACUAGAUUUAUUUUUUAUUAAUGCUUUUAUUUGUGCUUUAGAUUUAUGCUUUUAAUUGUGAUCGUCAGUCUGUAUAUUCUUAUUUCUUGUACGAACUGAGCUUUAUUAUUCUGUUCAAAUUUUUUGUCAUCCUCAAGACUGAUGGUGUACACACUGACUUAGAGAUGGGGCUGUACCUGCACCCACUGAACUGAGUUAAGGAACCCCACUCCAGGGUUCUUGAAAGUGAGCAAGCAGUGGUCUAACACACCUCACUGCAAUCAAGAAAGCAGACAAACGUGGGAAAGGACUAGGCAAAGGGGAAGACAAGAGGAGCUGCACCUAUGUGUGUGGUCAGCAGGUAAAGGCCCCCCAAAUGCCCAUGUCCUGUCCCCUGGGAGCCCGUGGCUCUGGGACCUUAUAUGGCUUUGCUGAUGUGAUUAACUUCACAGCCCACAAAAUAGCGAGAUUGUCCUGAAUUAUGGGGGAGGGGGUACGCAGUGCAAUCAGAGGAGCACUUAGAAGCAGAGAACUCUCCAGCUAGGGUCAGUGAGCUGCAGAGAUGCUGCAGAGAAACAGGAAGCAGGAGGUGGACUCAGCCCACCCUCCCUGGUGCGGCCAUGUGGAAAGUGUGAGAAGAAGUGGAGGGCAGGAGCCUCCAGGAGCAGCCAGCAGCUGCCAUCUUGCAGAAAGGACCCUGCCCAGCUGACCCUGUGGCCUCCUCUCCUGAGGCUCUGAGCAGGGAACUUGUACCCUGACCUCUGGCACCCAGAACCGAGAGUUAAUAAAGGCCGUUACUUAGAACCGUAAGUUCCUGGUCA
RNAcentral lists this long non-coding RNA (1376 nucleotides) under Dasypus novemcinctus (nine-banded armadillo). RNAcentral's name for it is "lncRNA (ENSDNOG00000051739.1)". Lineage: Eukaryota; Metazoa; Chordata; Mammalia; Cingulata; Dasypodidae. The record is from RNAcentral.